RNAcentral lists this ribosomal RNA (423 nucleotides) under uncultured bacterium. Its description in RNAcentral is "bacterial SSU rRNA". It matches the Rfam family "Bacterial small subunit ribosomal RNA", at positions 954 to 1378 of the family's 1533-position model. The record is from RNAcentral.
GCAGAACGCGAAGAACCUUACCAGGGCUUGAAUGCAUUAUGACAGGGGUGGAGACACCUUUUCCUUCGGGCAUUUUGCAAGGUGCUGCAUGGUUGUCGUCAGCUCGUGCCGUGAGGUGUCAGGUUAAGUCCUAUAACGAGCGCAACCCCUACCGUUAGUUGCCAGCGGGUCAUGCCGGGGACUCUAGCGGGACUGCCGGUGCAAACCGUGAGGAAGGUGGGGAUGACGUCAAAUCAUCACGGCCCUUACGUCCUGGGCCACACACGUGCUACAAUGGCCGGUACAGAGAGCGGCCACGCCGCAAGGCGGAGCGAAUCUACAAAAACCGGUCACAGUUCGGAUCGGGGUCUGCAACCCGACCCCGUGAAGCUGGAAUCGCUAGUAAUCGGAUAUCAGCCAUGAUCCGGUGAAUACGUUUCCGGG